GAGGGCAGAGCUCAGUGGUAAAGCACCUGCUUAGCAUGCACAAGGUCCUGGGUUCAAUCCCCAGUACCUCCA
RNAcentral lists this transfer RNA (72 nucleotides) under Camelus bactrianus (Bactrian camel). It matches the Rfam family "tRNA". From Rfam's summary of the family: Transfer RNA (tRNA) molecules are approximately 80 nucleotides in length. Their secondary structure includes four short double-helical elements and three loops (D, anti-codon, and T loops). RNAcentral also lists the same sequence under 2 other names. Lineage: Eukaryota; Metazoa; Chordata; Mammalia; Artiodactyla; Camelidae. The record is from Rfam by way of RNAcentral.